Molecule: long non-coding RNA, 762 nt
Filed under: Vigna radiata
Lineage: Eukaryota; Viridiplantae; Streptophyta; Magnoliopsida; Fabales; Fabaceae
Description: long non-coding RNA (VRAD_LNC000784)
Source: RNAcentral
AGGGUUGCAGAUGAAUUGGCUAGUGAGUCCUCUUCUUGCGGUUGCAUUGUAAAUAUCAUGUAUUUUGUCUUUUGAAUUGUGUGUUGAAUAGAAAAGAAAAGAGACAAGAUGAAAAAAACAAAAAAAAAAAAAAGAAAUAUCAGAAAAAAAAUUGUGAAUAAUGGAGUCAAGAAGAGGAUGGAAUUAGAGGUUGUGGGUGUGUUUGAAUGUGUUUACACUUAUUCCCCAUUGCUCCUCUGUUCCUUAUGGUUUGUAGCUUCUUAUCCAGAUGUAUCCUCCCUUAUCCUUGGCCCCGUUACAACCAUGAAAAGACCUUUUGAUUUGAACAUGCACAUGUGUGUGAGUGUUGAUAUUAGAGGCUUGCCAAGUCUGUUUGUGCGUGCUUUCUUGAGUGCAUCGAGUGACAUUAAUUUACCUUAGACACUUGAGAUAAACACUGAUAGUGUGCAUCCGUGAGCCUCUGUUGCUUUUGAUUCAUCUCUUGAACUUAUUGACUGUUUUCCAUUUACUGAACUGUUUGGAUGAUUCUGUGAGUAUCUGCUUUCAUUGACUCUGUGUGGGAUUCUGCCUAUGCCUUUCAUUGUCCAGAUUUUGUGAGAAUUGUGCAACUCUGUUUCUGUUUUGUGAGUCUUUGUUGUCUGUCUGCCGAGUCUGUGUCCCCUCCCUCAUGUUUGAGUAGUUCCCUGGUUUUCGUCUUGGUUUUACCCAGGAGUGCAAAAGACUAAGUGUGGUCUAUUUUGAUGAGUCGUUAUUUCUUGAACC